UUAAAGAUACUUCUCUACGGGGCUGGCGGAGACCCCGGCAGAGGUUAGAUUCCUAUGG
The submitters of this non-coding RNA (58 nucleotides) gave its source as unclassified sequences. The record is from Rfam.